Molecule: ribosomal RNA, 253 nt
Filed under: uncultured bacterium
Lineage: Bacteria
Description: partial 16S ribosomal RNA
Rfam family: Bacterial small subunit ribosomal RNA
Source: RNAcentral
UACGUAGGGCGCAAGCGUUGUCCGGAAUUAUUGGGCGUAAAGAGCUCGUAGGCGGCUUGUCACGUCGGGUGUGAAAGCCCGGGGCUUAACCCCGGGUCUGCAUUCGAUACGGGCUAGCUAGAGUGUGGUAGGGGAGAUCGGAAUUCCUGGUGUAGCGGUGAAAUGCGUAGAUAUCCGGAGGAACACCGGUGGCGAAGGCGAGGUGCUGGACCCUUUCUGACGCUGAUGCGCGAAAGCCAGGGGAGCAAACGGG